AACUUUCAACAACGGAUCUCUUGGUUCUGGCAUCGAUGAAGAACGCAGCGAAAUGCGAUAAGUAAUGUGAAUUGCAGAAUUCAGUGAAUCAUCGAAUCUUUGAACGCACAUUGCGCCCUGUGGUAUUCCGCAGGGCAUGCCUGUUCGAGCGUCAGUACAACACUCAAGCUCAGCUUGGUCUUGGAUCCAGCGGGAAACCGCGGG
This 204-nucleotide ribosomal RNA is filed under the name Stipitochalara longipes. RNAcentral's name for it is "Chalara longipes 5.8S ribosomal RNA". The stretch from base 1 to 154 matches the Rfam family "5.8S ribosomal RNA". Rfam says of the family: 5.8S ribosomal RNA (5.8S rRNA) is a component of the large subunit of the eukaryotic ribosome. It is transcribed by RNA polymerase I as part of the 45S precursor that also contains 18S and 28S rRNA. Functionally, it is thought that 5.8S rRNA may be involved in ribosome translocation. Lineage: Eukaryota; Fungi; Ascomycota; Leotiomycetes; Helotiales; Hamatocanthoscyphaceae. The record is from RNAcentral.